GGCCAGGACAAUCCUUGUGAGGAGUCACAAGAUUUAUUAGGUUGAGAUACAUAAUGGAUAUACUAUUAAGAGUUGACAGUUGUUGCCCAGCUAUGCAACCCAAGAGGGGGGGUGAAUUGGGUUUUAAAAAUUUUAAACUUAACUUACAACUAUGAAGAUUAUUUAACAAUGAGCAAGAUAAGUAUGGAGAGUAUAAUUUAUGCAAGGUGUAGAAGUUGGAUG
Molecule: long non-coding RNA, 222 nt
Filed under: Elaeis guineensis (African oil palm)
Lineage: Eukaryota; Viridiplantae; Streptophyta; Magnoliopsida; Arecales; Arecaceae
Description: long non-coding RNA (EGUI_LNC059275)
Source: RNAcentral